Cornus florida is the source of this 2294-nucleotide long non-coding RNA. RefSeq lists it as uncharacterized. Lineage: Eukaryota; Viridiplantae; Streptophyta; Magnoliopsida; Cornales; Cornaceae. The transcript has 2 exons. The record is from RefSeq and is a predicted model, not a curated record.
AUAUCCAGAAGUGGAAACAUAAAUCUGCCUUACAGCAUUCUGCUAACAGAUCAAACAAGUUAGCAUGUGAAGUUUUUUUGUUUUUUUUUUGGCUCGGAUAAUUACAAAAGGUGGGCCUUUGGCCAAACAUCCCGAUUUGGUCACAAUACAAGCCCAGAGGCAACAAGGGCCGAGCCCAACACGUUAGAAUUGAACAAAUAACCAUAACAACCGAAUGGUUGGCCGUUAAUUUAGGUUAUUAGUUCUCCAUUCGGGUGAACAAGAUGCGAUUCCGGUGGAAGACCGGCGAUUCCUUAGUCUGGAGGUGUUGGCUGCGGACGGCAAGAAGAAGGAGACAGGUUCCAUUCGUGUAGGAUUCUUCUUGAGGUGGAGCAAUCCUUGAGGAAACUCAAUUUCAGAAUUGAAGUAAUGGUGGAACAGAUUCGGUUAAGCACAGCCCUCUGUGAACACUUCUUCCCCUUUGAAGAUCCGGUCGUUUCUCUCUUCCCGUGUGUGAUACACCAUUGAAGAAAGACAGACUUUGCGGAGUAAGUUGGAAACAGAAUUUGAUUUCCAUCUUAAGCUGGACCAUGUGAUUAGGUUUCCCCAAUUUGUGAUAGAGUUGCAAAAGUGACCUUUAUCUUUGAUAAAAUUCCAGAUGGGGGAGACAAAGCAACAGUUAAAGAACAAAUGCUCAUGUGAUUCUUGAUGGGAGUGGCAAAGAGCACAAAGGUUUACAUAUGGAGACAUCUAUCCAAAGUUGGAAGCCUGGAUUAAACUGCAAGCCAAAAAUUAAACUUCAUGCAUGGAAUUGUAGGGUAUGGAGGAGGCAGCAAUCUCAGCUCAGGGGAUUGAGGAUGUUAGAACUGGUGGAAAGAACCAGAUAGAGUUUGCAAUGAAAAACUGGACUCUGGUGUCAAAAUUGCAUCCUGCUUCAUCAAGCAGUGCAUUUGGAAAUCUAGUGCAGAGAGGACCACCUGGAGCCCAAUUGUCCCACCAAAAUGAGGUUCCAUUGCCAUCUCCAAUGAUGUGCUUGAUGAGUAGUCUAGCUGGGUGCCUGAGUUGAAGAAUCUUUCUCCAGCUCCAAGAACAUUGAUGAGGAAUGCUCAAAGUCCACAAAUUCCUGCACUUAAUCAGGUGAGUAUUGCACCACCUGAUCCAUAGUCUGCUUAAGUUAUUUGUUUGUAGUUCCCAUAUGAAUCUCAAAAUUCCUGCUUUGUUAGCUAAUUCCAGGUUAGGAAUACAUACCUAGACCACUUGACUCUUUGGACCUGCAAACUUUGCUCCAAGCAACUUUGGCUCCUGAAGUCUUCAUUUCCGGACCAGACCAAAGAAAGGAUCUAAAAUUGGCAUUUAGCUCAUUGAUAACUGAUUUUGGCAGUGUGAAAAUGUUGGACUAGUAAAUUUAGGUUGAAACAAGAAUUGCUUUGAUGAGUUGAAGCCUCCCUGCAUAAGACAAUGACCUUGAUGACCAAUGUGAGACUCUGAAUUAUCUUCUUAAUCAAAAGGUUGCAAUGUAUGGAUUUUAAGUUGGUGGAGAUCAAUGGGACCCCAAGAUACUUUACUGGUAGAGUUGUCAACCCAAUACCAAGUAAACAUGUAAUAGCAUCUUCAGUUUGUGGAUCAACUCCAGAGAGGAAAACAUAAUUUUUGGAGAAAUUGAUCUCAAGACCAGACAUUGAGCAAAAGUGAUCAAGAGCACAUUUGAGAACUGAAACAGAAGAGAUGUCUCCAUGGCAAAACAGCAUUAAAUCAUCAGCAUAAGAAAGAAGGGUGAUUUUUAGGGCACCACAUCUCCAGUGGUACUUGAAGAUAUGUACCUUCUCAACAAAAUUCUUGAUAAUUAGAGACAAUGCAUCCAUUACUAUAACAAAGAGAAAUGGUGAGAGCCUCUAUUGCCUCUGAAAAAGCCUUGGAAUUCACCAUUAAGAGCAAUGGUGAAGGAUGGUGAUGAGAUACUUGCAUUGAUGAGAGAGAUGAAUUUGUCUGGAAAUUUGAGAAGUUUGAGGCAGUUUAGGAUGAAGUCCCAUUUAACUGAAUCAAAUUCCUUCCUCAAAUCAAUCUUGAUAGCACAUCUAGCUGGUGUAGAGUCCUUGUGAUACCCCCUCAAAUGCUCAUGAGCCAAAAAAAUUGGAUCAGUAAUCUUUCUACCAUGAAUGUUGAAGUUUUAAUUGAGAGAUGUAUAGAUUCAAUGUAAGGCUGCUUUUGUGAGUUUGAAUUAGGCAAAAAUUGUGCUAUUGGAAACGUAUGGAAUUUACAGUUUGAGUUUCUUAAGGGAGAGAUUUUAUUGAAUAUUAAGAGAUUGUUUAGUUUCA